Molecule: long non-coding RNA, 255 nt
Filed under: Capsella rubella
Lineage: Eukaryota; Viridiplantae; Streptophyta; Magnoliopsida; Brassicales; Brassicaceae
Description: long non-coding RNA (CRUB_LNC001518)
Source: RNAcentral
AAAAUUAUUAUUACGAAAAAUGCUACCAAAAUGUCAACUAAGUACCAAACUUAUUUAAAUCUGACAUACGUAGAAAAAUUGGCUCAAAAAUCUUGAUUGAGUAAAUUGUUAUAGUAAGUUUCUCGGUUUUCAGACAAUUAAGUAAAACAAAAACAUUACAUAAACAUCUCAAUUAGCUUGAUUCAGACGUUCAAGUGUGCCAAUCAUCUCACACUUGUCUCCAAUCCGACAAGCAAUAUAUUGCCAACGCAAAAC